AGGUUAACCGAAUAGGGGAGCCGUAGAGAAAUCGAGUCUUAAUAGGGCGUUUAGUUGCUGGGUAUAGACCCGAAACCAGGCGAUCUAUCCAUGAGCAGGUUGAAGGUUGGGUAACACUAACUGGAGGACCGAACCCACUGUCGUUGAAAAGCCAGGGGAUGACUUGUGGAUAGGGGUGAAAGGCUAAUCAAGCCUGGUGAUAGCUGGUUCUCCCCGAAAGCUAUUUAGGUAGCGCCUCGGACGAAUACCAUAGGGGGUAGAGCACUGUUUCGGCUAGGGGGUCAUCCCGACUUACCAAACCGAUGCAAACUCCGAAUACCUAUGAGUACUAUCCGGGAGACAGACUGCGGGUGCUAACGUCCGUAGUCAAGAGGAAAACAAUCCAGACCGCCAGCUAAGGCCCCAAAAUCAUAGUUAAGUGGGAAACGAUGUGGGAAGGCAUAGACAGCUAGGAGGUUGGCUUAGAAGCAGCCACCCUUUAAAGAAAGCGUAAUAGCUCACUAGUCGAGUCGGCCUGCGCGGAAGAUGUAACGGGGCUAAAACUAUGUGCCGAAGCUGCGGAUUUGACUUUUAAGUCAAGUGGUAGGGGAGCGUUCUGUAAGCCGAUGAAGGUGUAUUGAGAAGUAUGCUGGAGGUAUCAGAAGUGCGAAUGCUGACGUGAGUAACGACAAAACGGGUGAAAAACCCGUUCGCCGAAAGACCAAGGGUUCCAGUCCAACGUUAAUCGGGGCUGGGUGAGUCGACCCCUAAGGCGAGGCCGAAAGGCGUAGUCGAUGGGAAAUUGGUUAAUAUUCCAAUACUUCUGUGUAAUGCGAUGAGAGGACGGAGAAGGUUAAGUCAGCCUGGCGUUGGUUGUCCAGGUGAAAGGAAGUAGGCAUGCAUCUUAGGCAAAUCCGGGGUGCUCUAUGCUGAGAUCUGAUAGCAAGCUGUACUUGUACAGCGAAGUGGCUGAUACCAUGCUUCCAGGAAAAGUCUCUAAGCUUCAGUUACACAGGAAUCGUACCCUAAACCGACACAGGUGGUCAGGUCGAGUAGACCAAGGCGCUUGAGAGAACUCUGCUGAAGGAACUAGGCAAAAUGGUACCGUAACUUCGGGAGAAGGUACGCUGUUGUUGGUGAUGGAACUUGCUUCCUGAGCUGAUGACAGCCACAGAAACCAGGCCGCUGCAACUGUUUAUUAAAAACAUAGCACUCUGCAAACACGAAAGUGGACGUAUAGGGUGUGAUGCCUGCCCGGUGCUGGAAGGUUAAUUGAUGGGGUUAGCGUAAGCGAAGCUCUUGAUCGAAGCCCCAGUAAACGGCGGCCGUAACUAUAACGGUCCUAAGGUAGCGAAAUUCCUUGUCGGGUAAGUUCCGACCUGCACGAAUGGCAUAAUGAUGGCGGCGCUGUCUCCAGCAGAGGCUCAGUGAAAUCGAAAUCGCUGUGAAGAUGCAGUGUACCCGCGGCUAGACGGAAAGACCCCGUGAACCUUUACUGCAGCUUGACAUUGAACUUUGACCUUACUUGUGUAGGAUAGGUGGGAGGCUUUGAAGUUGGAACGCUAGUUCCAAUGGAGCCGUCCUUGAAAUACCACCCUGGUAAUGUUGAGGUUCUAACUCUGCCCCGUAAUCCGGGGCGAGGACCAUGUCUGGUGGGUAGUUUGACUGGGGCGGUCUCCUCCUAAAGAGUAACGGAGGAGUACGAAGGUGCGCUCAGCGUGGUCGGAAAUCACGCGUAGAGUAUAAAGGCAAAAGCGCGCUUAACUGCGAGACCCACAAGUCGAGCAGGUACGAAAGUAGGUCUUAGUGAUCCGGUGGUUCUGUAUGGAAGGGCCAUCGCUCAACGGAUAAAAGGUACUCUGGGGAUAACAGGCUGAUACCGCCCAAGAGUUCAUAUCGACGGCGGUGUUUGGCACCUCGAUGUCGGCUCAUCUCAUCCUGGGGCUGAAGCAGGUCCCAAGGGUAUGGCUGUUCGCCAUUUAAAGAGGUACGCGAGCUGGGUUUAGAACGUCGUGAGACAGUUCGGUCCCUAUCUACCGUGGGCGCUGGAAAUUUGAGAGGAUCUGCUCCUAGUACGAGAGGACCAGAGUGGACGAACCUCUGGUGUACCGGUUGUGACGCCAGUCGCAUCGCCGGGUAGCUAUGUUCGGAAGGGAUAACCGCUGAAAGCAUCUAAGCGGGAAGCCUACCUCAAGAUAAGAUUUCCCUAGGACUUUAUGUCCUCUAAAGAGCCGUUCGAGACUAGGACGUUGAUAGGUUGGAUGUGGAAGCAUAGUGAUAUGUGAAGCUGACCAAUACUAAUUGCUCGUGAGGCUUGACUAU
RNAcentral lists this ribosomal RNA (2301 nucleotides) under Acinetobacter sp. TG19627. RNAcentral's name for it is "bacterial LSU rRNA". It matches the Rfam family "Bacterial large subunit ribosomal RNA", at positions 643 to 2925 of the family's 2925-position model. Lineage: Bacteria; Pseudomonadati; Pseudomonadota; Gammaproteobacteria; Moraxellales; Moraxellaceae. The record is from RNAcentral.